GAAGACGUCUCCUCGCCUUCGUCUUCCUCGUGGUCACCGGCGCCGUGUCCAGCGUACUUCUUCUCGGUGGGCAUGAGCUCUCCUUCUGGACCUACACCGCCGCGCCGACAUCCUGCACCCGCUCCCUCGCCGCCGACCCCAGCAUGGUGUAGCAGAGGAGCUACACUAAUCACUGGAGACUCUGGAGUGAAGUUCAAGCACAUCCAUGCCAAAGACGGCCGACGGAUGACACAACAGACAGAUACUUUGGAGUUCUUGUAGAUCGAGUAGAGUGGAUGGAGACCUUUAUUUGGUGUCAGAAUUUUUGUCGACCUCCAUGUAGAGGAAUGAUCCUUCUCCAAAUUAUUUCAUUCAUAUCUGCAUAGAUACAGAAAAUUUGAUACAUGCAUACAUACAGUCCUGCAUACAUAGAAUGCUCAUGAUCAUUUGUUUUGCGCUAAGUGCACAUUUCUUCCAUGAAUAUAA
This is a long non-coding RNA of Triticum dicoccoides, 465 nucleotides long. RefSeq lists it as uncharacterized. Lineage: Eukaryota; Viridiplantae; Streptophyta; Magnoliopsida; Poales; Poaceae. The record is from RefSeq and is a predicted model, not a curated record. The transcript is spliced from 2 exons.